UCACCUGCGGCACGCCGGGCAAUGCGAUGCUGCCGGGGCCAGCCGAGCUGCGGCCUCAGCGGGCUCGCCGUGCCACCGCAAUGCUCCUUCCUCCCACUGCUCCCGCUCCUGCUGCUCCUCUGCCCGCUCCUCCCGUUCCUGCUCCUCCCCUUCCUCUCUGCCGCUGCCCUUCCUCCCGCUCCUCCUCCUCCGCUCCCGCCCCGGACCCCCUUUCGCUGCCCCUCUGCCCCACGGCCGCAGCAGCAGCGGCUCUCGGGCAGGGCGAGAAACCCCCCGGAGCCCCCGGCCAUGGGCAGGGGGCUCGGGGGCCCCCAGUGCAGACCCGUCCGUGCCGUGCCCCUCCCGCCCAGCCAAAAUUCCGCUCCCGGGGCUCGCUGGAUGCGAGCGGGCGGCGCAGGAGACUGGAUGAGUGUUUCACAGGAAAUUGGGCAGUGCGUCCUCUGGCAGGAAUUGGGAAAGGCGCUGCGCUCUGCGGGUUUCCCUGGCAGCUGCCGAGUCCAAGCCAGAGAUCUUUCCUAAUUCUUUAUGUCCCUGAGACCUCUUUCCUAUUUCUCUACCUCACAUUUCUUGGUCAAUACUAUCAUCAAUAAAUACUGGUUCAGUAAAA
Molecule: non-coding RNA, 607 nt
Organism: Taeniopygia guttata (zebra finch)
Lineage: Eukaryota; Metazoa; Chordata; Aves; Passeriformes; Estrildidae
Source: RefSeq, a predicted model, not a curated record